RNAcentral lists this ribosomal RNA (301 nucleotides) under uncultured bacterium. RNAcentral's name for it is "partial 16S ribosomal RNA". It matches the Rfam family "Bacterial small subunit ribosomal RNA", at positions 509 to 809 of the family's 1533-position model. The record is from RNAcentral.
CAGUAGCCGCGGUAAUACGUAGGUGGCAAGCGUUGUCCGGAAUUAUUGGGCGUAAAGGGCUCGCAGGCGGUUUCUUAAGUCUGAUGUGAAAGCCCCCGGCUCAACCGGGGAGGGUCAUUGGAAACUGGGAAACUUGAGUGCAGAAGAGGAGAGUGGAAUUUCACGUGUAGCGGUGAAAUGCGUAGAGAUGUGGAGGAACACCAGUGGCGAAGGCGACUCUCUGGUCUGUAACUGACGCUGAGGAGCGAAAGCGUGGGGAGCGAACAGGAUUAGAUACCCCCGUAGUCCCUGUCUCUUAUCA